RNAcentral lists this small nuclear RNA (103 nucleotides) under Nelumbo nucifera (sacred lotus). The record is from RNAcentral. Lineage: Eukaryota; Viridiplantae; Streptophyta; Magnoliopsida; Proteales; Nelumbonaceae.
AUCUCUUUGGAGACGACCAACAAAAUUGGAAAAAUACAGAUAAAAUUAACAUGAUCCCUGUGCAAGGAUGGUAUUUGCAAAUUAAGAAUAGUUUAACAGCAAA